Molecule: transfer RNA, 75 nt
Filed under: candidate division SR1 bacterium
Lineage: Bacteria; Candidatus Absconditibacteriota
Description: tRNA-Glu
Rfam family: tRNA
About the family: Transfer RNA (tRNA) molecules are approximately 80 nucleotides in length. Their secondary structure includes four short double-helical elements and three loops (D, anti-codon, and T loops).
Source: RNAcentral
GGCGCUAUCGUCUAGUGGUUAGGACGCGAGAUUUUCAUUCUUGUAACCGGGGUUCAAUUCCCCGUAGCGCCGCCA